UAGUAGGGGCUUCAGAACCUGCAAAAAGCCCCAAGUAUGUGGCUCGGAAUAAUGUCUAUAGUCCUUGAGAAGGGGUUGAUUCUAGAAAGGCCUCAUAGCGUCCUGCUUGGUUUUCAAAAAGACAUAUUACCCAAAGAGACCAUUGACAGUAAAGGUAAGUGAAGUUUACUCUUACUUACAUGUCUUGGUUCCUAGAAUCAUGUGUUUUUACCAGUUAGAGAUGAAAGACCAUAGAAUGUUCACUGACUAAGUUGUAAACACCACUUUUGAGGCUGCUACCUAAUCUGUUGAGAGCAUUGUUUACAAGCUACAGCCUCAGUUCACCCUUUAAAACUAUGUCAUUAUUCUAUCUGAUUGGAAACUUCUGGGUGAUAUGGUACAUAAGAGGAAAAGUGAGUUCCAUGUUCCUGUGUAAAACAUCACUGUUUAUUUUCUGGAAUGUGAAUCCUUUGGUGUUUUGUGACAUUUUUCAGGAUCAUGAAUCAGUGGAUUAUAAACUGAAAUAUAUACACAACUUAAAUGCUAAGAGUUAUGUUUUAUUCAGUGGAUAAAACUGAGGACUGAAGCCUGGGAGGCAACAUCUCAAGUACCCUGAGAAAACCUCUCCAGGGAGGCAAGGGGGGAGACAGGAUAUAUGAGUUUUGCAACAAAGGACAGUUAGUAGGAACAAAGUAUCAUUGUUAAUAACAGAAAACUAGAUAUCUCAUAUUAAGUAAUUUAGCACUUUUUUAUGUAUAUGAAGAUGCAAAGGCCUGGGCUCACUGAAAUCAUUCCUUUGAUGUGCACCUCAGCUAUCUGGGGCCUGUAUCUUAUGCUUUCAGAUCCUGAGUUUCCUAAGGGUGCACCAUUGGGAGUGGGCUGCGCUCUGAUGUCUGCUAGCGGGCACAUAUUUGUUGCCUUCCUGAAUUCCCUCAGGAGGUGGCUGCAACUGCUGAUGACUCUGACAUUUUUUGUUUACUGAUAUUUAAGGCAAUAUUUUAUUUUUCAGAAUAUUAUGCCUUAAAUUGUAGUGGUCUCUGAGGCUCUAUUGUCAAAAAAAGGCAAACCCAUUUAUCCUAGAUGCUGUCCAGAAAAAUCCCUGCUUCUGUUACAAAUUAGCAUGUCCACUAUAAUAAACUUUUCCCUAUGAUUCAUCCAUUCAUGAACCCAAUGCAUAUGCACUGGGGAUGGGCAGUGAAAGAAACUGGCUGAUAUUGAUUUCUGUCAUUCCAUCUAUUUUUCUUUUUUUGCUUUUUUAAAGCCCACGUUCAUGGCAUAUGGAGGUUCCCAGGCUAGGGGUGAAGUGGAACUGUAGCUGCUAGCCUAUACCACAGCCACAGUAAUGCAGAAUCCAAGCCACAUCUGUGACCUACUUCACACCUCACAGCAAUGCCAGAUCCUUAAACCACUGAGCAAGGCCAGGGAUAGAACCUGAGGCCUCAGUGAUGCCAAUCAGAUUUGUUAACCAAUGAGCCAUAAUGGGAAUGCCUUUUUUUUUUUUUUUUUUUUUAAGUUAGGAUUUCUCUGAUGAACUCAAGUAUGCAAUAUAGGACCAAACACCUUCGCAAUUCAUGCACACUACUGAAAAUUUCUGCUCGUUUCUUCUGUAGAAUUUCUUGUCCUUUAUUUUUCAAUCAUUGUACCUGAUCACAGGCCUCAACAACUUGGCACAGACUGGUAUUCCAUGUAAAUUCUAAUCAUGCACAAGUUUUCUAUCCACACAUAGUAGAUAACCAGGUAUAUGGUUUACCUUCUAAGCCCUGGGAGGGUUUCUCCUCCCUGCUCUCUUUCAGGGCCACCUCUGGGAGAGUUCUACAGCAGUCACCUAUAGUCAACCUGCACCCAAAUGUCCCAACACCUGUUCUCUGAACCAAGCCUGGUAUUAUUGGUCUCAGUCAGCUGGUAUUAACUCUGCCUGUUCUCACCUGCCAUGCAACCUUAGAUGUGAGCUGGAGACGUGUUUUUGUUUUUCUUUUUUUUUAUUUUUUAAGUGAUGAGACACAUAAGAUGCAUUGAUUUGAUGAUUUAUUACUUAUUUUGGUACUAACAUGUCCUAGACAACUAGACCCGUUACAAAUUUCAUUGAUUUAGUGUGUCAACUUUUUUUAUGAUUUAUUACUCAUCCUCGGAAAUGCCUAUGCUUUACCAAGAUUGUCAAUGUUCUUAUACACUUAUAUGAUUUAAUUAACAUGAUGUCAUCAGUUUAAAGAAAUAAUGCACUAUUAAACAAAGUGUAGAGAUACUAUACAUGCCUUUGACCUAUAUUAUAAUUGUGAGCAAGAGAGUUAAUAUAACUCUGGGACAAGAAUGAAAUAUAAUCUGUUUAUAGUUUAUCCUACAUCAGAGAUAACUGCUUCAUCCAUUUCUUCAAAGAGAUGAAAAAAAAUACAUUAUCUGGGUCAAAAGUUAUAUACCAUAUGCCCAGUGUCAUGUUACUAUGCCCCAGGAAAGAUAUAAUUGACUAGCACUCAGUUGAGUUUUCGGUAGUUCACCAGGGAGACUGAUGGCUCAGGCAAAGGGCAAUAAAAAAUGCCAUAAUUUCCAUCUGGGCCCAGUGUCCAUAUGACUUUUGCAGUGGUUGUAUUUGUGAAUUAAAGAAGACUAUGAUGAGUAUCAAUAUCACUACACAUUUUCAUUCUUUCAGGAUAGCUAUGAUUUCAACCAUUUCCCUUGGGAUGUAGCAUUGCUCUAGCCUUACUGUUUUCAUAGCACCAGGGGCCAGUUUCAACAGCUUCUAUUCAGCUUUCCCAAAUAUGACAGCUCUUACCUCAUGGAAUGUGGGUAUUCUUCAAGCCACCAAAUACAUUUAUAAAAUUAUUAAUUUUGAGAUCAGGUAAAUCACUACUCUGUGGUCCCAUGGACACAGUGGACCUGCUAUGAGCCAGACCUGGAGUAGGAUACUAUUUUUUGAAACACCUUCACAAACAGCACAGCUAUAAAAAUCUCCAAGUAUCAAAUGUCAAAUUGGAUCUCUGUCUGUUUGCCCAUAAAUAUCUAGUAUCUCCCUUUCCCUAGUAUACAGUUAUCAGAAUAAAUGACCAUAUGCCUCAUUGGGAAAGAGCAUUGAUAAUCAUUAGCAUAUAAACUUGCCCUGAUGCUGAAGGUGCUUUCCUCAUGUAAACUGCCUUGUCCUUCAGUAAAUGGGUUCUGGAUUUUAAAACUGACACAUGUUUGGAAACUGUGCAGGAAAUUAUAAUGCUUUAUUGGGUUGGCUGCCCUUCACAUCCUAAUCAUCCAUGCUCCAUUUCUUUUGAUUGCAUAAAUGGAGAAAUACUCUUAAAGGUCAUCUGUAUAUCUUGUCCUUAGGGAUGCUGUGCUCUAUUAACAAUCUCCCUGGUUCUCUAUCUGGCUCCUGUUUCCACUCUUAUUUUUCUCUGACUUCGUUCAAUAAUUAUGCUCAUUACUUUUUCUAACAGAUGAGUUCUUCUGAGAUCUUAUUAUCCUCGUUGCUAUCACAACUCUCAUCACUCAUGACCUAUGUAGGGAGUCACCAUUGAUCCAAUAAUGCUGGUAACCUCUCACAAUUCUUUUCUUAUCAUAUUGAUAAGUAUGGACUUUGGGAGGGGAAAAUAGUUGGACUUGCCUAUUAUAUCCACAUUAGCCUGAUUUCACAGGGUCUUUUUAUUUUGACUUCUUCUGCCCAACAUGGAAUUUCUGGCAUUGCUAUUGCCCUUUGCCUGGGCCAUCACUUUUCCCAAUUUCUAAAGACACCCAAGAAUUAGUCCUGUACUCUAAGGCCUUUGUUAGAGUAUGACAUCUAUAAUCAGGAAUAGUGCUCCCACACUGAUCAUUUCUUCAAAUUUCUAUCCAACAAUUCUUGGUCUAAUCGCCUUAGGACUCUGUCCCAUAAUCAUGUUUGUAGCUCCUGAGUACACACUGAGUCGCUCCUACAUUUAAUUGAAGUACAAUCCCUUUCAUCUCUCAGUGGGAGCACUUGUUAGUAACAUCCUCCUGGAUACUAUAUAUUGAGACAUCUUUAUUUAUUGGUCUAAUGGAAAUGAGGAAGUUUGGGACACAUGUCAAGGAAGCACACAUCAUCUAAGAAGGCAGAAAUCACUAUUAUCUUCAAGCAAGGGGCAAGCACUAUCCUUUACUAUGAAGGGCCAUUUCUGUAGGUCCAGAGGAUUAAAAACUAUCUGGAGACUCAGGAGUUCUGACCUAGAUAUCUCCAUCUUAUGUUUCGUCAUCCCUUUUUCUUUCCAAUCAUGGCCUUGCCUAGGACAUAGCACUACAGAAUACAUUUUCUGUAUUUCAGUUAUCCCUCUAAUGAAUUAUUAGAUUUUGAUGUUAGCUUAUAUAGCCUCUCAAUGUGGAGAGGAUUGUACUUAAGUUGAUUUAAAUUAGUGAGUGAUCACUUUAAGCCCUUAAUUAUCCUCUUUUUCUCCAAUGUAUUAAUGACCUCAACAAGAGCUAUCACAUUCCAUAGUCCUUAUAGUUACUAGUUCUCCUGAAUUUCUCAAAUGGCUGAGAUCUGGGACAUUUUACCAACCACUGCUUCCCUCCUCUGAUGACCAGAAUCCCAUUCCAGUUUAUUGUCAUGGAAAUUUUAAUGAUUGCAUUAUUACUACAUAUCAGGGACUUGCAGUACCCAGAUGUACCACCAGUGAUGGGGUCCUCACUGCCAGCUGGCUAGAAAAUGCUUUGGUUCCAAAAAUUUCAUUUCAGCAUCUGCUUUUUUGGACUAUAAUUUGCACCAACUAACAUAGAUAAGGUUCUCUGGGAAACAGACUCUUAGACAGUUAUUCAAAUGAAGGCAGUUUAUUGAGACGGAUUCAUUGAAACAACACCUGUCUGAGCAUUUGAGAAGUAAGAUUAGGCAGAGAUCUCUGGCAUGGCCUUUCAGACUGGGUUGCCAGAUUU
This 4839-nucleotide long non-coding RNA is filed under the name Sus scrofa (pig). RNAcentral's name for it is "lncRNA (ENSSSCG00000052846.1, ENSSSCG00160007534.1)". The record is from RNAcentral. Lineage: Eukaryota; Metazoa; Chordata; Mammalia; Artiodactyla; Suidae.